UUUCGAGGCCUCGUAAUCGGAAUGAGUACACUUUAAAUAUUUUAACGAGGAACAAUUGGAGGGCAAGUCUGGUGCCAGCAGCCGCGGUAAUUCCAGCUCCAAUAGCGUAUACUAAAUUUGUUGCGGUUAAAAAGCUCGUAGUUGCAUUUGUGCGCCGCGCUGUCGGUGCACCGCUUUCGCGGUGAUACUGACACGUCUGCGGAGAUAUCGUCGGUGAGCUUUCGGUAAAACGAGAGUUCAAUAUCAAAAAUCCUAUCGCGGUGCUCUUCGGUGAGUGUCGAGAUGGGCCGACAAUUUUACUUUGAACAAAUUAGAGUGCUCAAAGCGGGCUAAAAAUGCCGCUCGAAUAUUUAGUGCAUGGAAUAAUAGAAUAUGAUCUCGGUUCUAUUUUGUUGGUUUUCAGAACUCCGAGGUAAUGAUUAAUAGGGAUAACUGGGGGCAUUCGUAUUGCGACGUUAGAGGUGAAAUUCUUGGAUCGUCGCAAGACGAACAUCAGCGAAAGCAUUUGCCAAAGGUGUUUUCAUCAAUCAAGAACGAAAGUUAGAGGUUCGAAGGCGAUUAGAUACCGCCCUAGUUCUAACCGUAAAUAUGUCAUCUAGCGAUCCGCCGACGUUAAAAAAAUGGCUCGGCGGGCAGCUUCCGGGAAACCAAAGAUUUUGGACUCCGGGGGGAGUAUGGUUGCAAAGCUGAAACUUAAAGGAA
RNAcentral lists this ribosomal RNA (702 nucleotides) under Opostega sp. OP02. RNAcentral describes it as "SSU rRNA". It matches the Rfam family "Eukaryotic small subunit ribosomal RNA", at positions 493 to 1152 of the family's 1831-position model. Lineage: Eukaryota; Metazoa; Arthropoda; Insecta; Lepidoptera; Opostegidae. The record is from RNAcentral.